Molecule: long non-coding RNA, 1589 nt
Filed under: Lathyrus oleraceus (garden pea)
Lineage: Eukaryota; Viridiplantae; Streptophyta; Magnoliopsida; Fabales; Fabaceae
Description: Pisum sativum (pea) long non-coding RNA (PSAT_LNC023777)
Source: RNAcentral
UUAUUUUAAAAAAAAAAUCUUUGAUUUGAUUAGUUUCUUUUUAUAUUUUGUAUAUUUGAUUUCAUUUUCAUUAGUUGAUGUAGCUUCCUUUUUUAUUUGACCUAGUAUACUAAUAUAAAUAACACACCAACUUUUCACCCAACGGGGAAUUCACUCAUACACACACGGUACAACACCAAUAUAAACCCUAUAAUAUUCACCCUUCACUCUUAUACACAAUAUGUAUCUCAUGUCACAUCAAUUUUACACAACACGUGAGAACACCACCAAUUAUCCCCACUAACAAUCACCUAUAAUAUCCUCAAUCACACAACAAACUUUGCACCAAGAACACCAACAAUUCAUCUGUCAAAACCAAAAAUCUGAAAACUCAAAAACUCACACACUGACCAAUACAUGAGGAAAAAGGGAACACGUUUUUCAUAGUAAAAAUUUUGUUACCAACACCUUCAAUCAUUAAUCCAAACUUCAUACUCAACAAUCUCACAUACAUCCACCAACAAUAUACAUUAAAUCAAAGGUAACAAUCACUUACAACAAAAACAUGACUAAAAUUCACACAACAACCAAUUCUAAAAAUCAAAUCGAAAAAGAGAAGAAACGAGAUCGGAAACCACAUCAUCCCUUAGUCGUUAAGCCCCCGACGUCGUCCACGACACCACCAUGAUGGUCGGUCCACCACCGUGAACCCUUUUAUCGUACUCCAUCUGUAGCUGUUGUGGUUACCUCCCUUUCCGAUUGUGAAAUUGCGAGAACCACCGCACCGAUUUCUUUCAUUUUCCCCUAUGUCUCAAUAAUGUUUUUGUUUAUGUUUGCAAGCUGCUUCAAUUGCUUAGAGAACAAAGGGUGAUUUUCUUUGUUUUUAUGAAAAUUUGAGAAUGGGUUUGAGGAAUGAAGUAAGAGUAAGAGAGAGAGAGAAAGAGACUAGAAGGAGGAAAAGAAGAAUGAGGUUGUCGGGGAUUUCCUUCUGGUAUUGUAGCCUUGUUUUUUUACUUUUUUAUUUUUUUAAUCCCUUACUGCCACUUGUCUAAACUUAAUUGGUGGGGGCUGAAUUUGAAAGAAAGAGUAAUUCGAUAAGACACUAGCAACUAUGGAUGUUCAAAACCAAAUCAUUCCGAUAGAAAACCGUAAAUCAAAUCAAAUCAAACCGAAACCGCAAAAAAUUGUAUUUGGUUCGGAUGUGUUUGGGUCAUUUUAUAACAAAACUGUGCGGUUUGGUUUGCAGAGUUUGUAUUUUGAAAUCUGAACUAAACCAAACCAAACCGUAUUAUGUUACCACUUAAACUUCCCUUAUCCCACAUCAAACCCAAAAUCCAAUUUUUUUAUGUCUUAACCUUAUAAAUAUUCUCUUACUCGUGUUUAGAAUUUUAGUUUCAACUUUUUCAAAUAGUAAUAUUAUGCAUUAUUCUCAUCUUAUUUGCCAUGUACAUCUCACAUCUUCUACUCUAAUCUUUAAUCUCUUAUGUUCUUUAUUUUUUUAUUUUUCUUAAUUUUAUGUUAUUGUUUCUGUUUCAAUUACGUUUUUAUCGCAUUUUUCUUCUCUGAUCUUACAUCUCUUAUAUUGUUUCUUUUUCAUCUUCUCUGUUUUU